GAGGGCACCGCGGUGGCCUCUUCUGAGGAGGAAUGGCACAGCCUGGGCGGGAGGCUGCGUGCCCCUUUCAAGGAGGCCACAGGAUUCAGCCAAGUGCUUUCAAACACCCCCACGAAGUGCCUAGGAGGGGACAGGGAAAAGGAGGGAAUGGCACCUUUCCAGGAUACCAAAGUCAAAGACAAGGCGAGGUCACCUGGGAUCCCUAUGCCACCACCAUGAAGACUGCAUUCACGCCCAAGAAGGGAUCGGUGCCGGUUUUAAUUCGUCAAAAGAGUAUCAGAAGACUGGGAUAUACCUAUUCACUUAGUGACCCUCUGCUUAAUCAGACACAGUACAAUGAUGAGUAUGUUUGGAAAUCAUGUUCUAAAGAAGAUUGGAUCAAAACUAGGACUGCAAGAGGAAUCAGGAGCCAAAACUAUCACCCCAGUCAAGGUUUCUUUCUCUGGACAUUACCUCAGGGACAAUCAAUGGCAUCAAUAAGGAGCCACCUCCGUUGGAAAAUCGCUGCUUCAGAGGAAGCCUUUAGGAAGGCAGUAUCAAAUCAGUUUAUUUCCACUACUAGAAGAGACUUUGUGGACAGAUCAAAAGUUCCAGAGAUUAAGGAAAGUUCUCAGACGUCUCAGGACUGGAAAAAGUUACUUCCUCGACCUGCAGACACUGAAUUUCGACAGAAUUACCAAGUUCCAGCUAAAAUUCCUGAAUUGCAGGACUUUAAUUUCAAAUGUGGGUGCUACUCAAGCCUACCAGUUGCUUCUCAGGGUCAAGUCCCUUCCGUGCUGUACAGCCCCCUGAGGAGUCAAGAGCUUAUAAAGAACCAGACUGUGUACCAAAGCGAUUAUGGGAAAACCUCCCUGGAUUACUUAAUGAUUUUAAACUCAUUUACUCCCUCUCAAAUUACAGAGUACCUUCAGAGUGUUUCCUGCAAAGGGCACAGAGUGGACACCGUGCUCAUCAGUAAAGGAGUACCUGGUGGGUUUUGCUGGCUGAUACCAUGAACUGGAGAGUGAGAAGAGCAAGCUCUGCUUUGGGAAGGUUAGAAACAUCUCAUGUUAACAGCAUCCUAGAUGCCGAGGUGAUCCUGGCAGAGCCCGUAAUGUUCAGAGCCAAGACUUGCCCUGCUGGACCUCAGCCUUCGGGUAA
Hyaena hyaena (striped hyena) is the source of this 1140-nucleotide RNA transcript. It is a transcript of the gene named testis expressed 26, with no coding region annotated. Lineage: Eukaryota; Metazoa; Chordata; Mammalia; Carnivora; Hyaenidae. The transcript has 9 exons. The record is from RefSeq and is a predicted model, not a curated record.